UACGUAGGCAGCAAGCGUUGUUCGGAGUUACUGGGCGUAAAGGGUGCGUAGGCGGCUUUUUAAGUUUGGUGUGAAAUCUCCCGGCUCAACUGGGAGGGUGCGCCGAAUACUGAGAGGCUAGAGUGCGGGAGAGGAGAGUGGAAUUCCUGGUGUAGCGGUGAAAUGCGUAGAUAUCAGGAGGAACACCGGUGGUGUAAACGGCUUUCUGGACCGUAACUGACGCUGAUGCACGAAAGCGUGGGUAGCAAACAGG
Molecule: ribosomal RNA, 253 nt
Filed under: uncultured bacterium
Lineage: Bacteria
Description: partial 16S ribosomal RNA
Rfam family: Bacterial small subunit ribosomal RNA
Source: RNAcentral